GGGAAUGAUUGGGUGGCUGGUGCCCUCCGCGGCCUUCAAAGCCGUUGAAUGUAGUAAUACUGCAUUGCUGGAUUCGAUUUCCAGGCAUUCCCG
Molecule: transfer RNA, 93 nt
Filed under: Fidelibacterota bacterium
Lineage: Bacteria; Pseudomonadati; Fidelibacterota
Description: tRNA-Sec
Rfam family: Selenocysteine transfer RNA
Source: RNAcentral